RNAcentral lists this ribosomal RNA (468 nucleotides) under uncultured bacterium. RNAcentral's name for it is "partial 16S ribosomal RNA". It matches the Rfam family "Bacterial small subunit ribosomal RNA", at positions 34 to 507 of the family's 1533-position model. The record is from RNAcentral.
GCCGCCCGCUGGCCGCGUGCUUAACACAUGCAAGUCGAACGGAAAGGCCCUGCUUUUGUGGGGUGCUCGAGUGGCGAACGGGUGAGUAACACGUGAGUAACCUGCCCUUGACUUUGGGAUAACUUCAGGAAACUGGGGCUAAUACCGGAUAGGAGCUCCUGCUGCAUGGUGGGGGUUGGAAAGUUUCGGCGGUUGGGGAUGGACUCGCGGCUUAUCAGCUUGUUGGUGGGGUAGUGGCUUACCAAGGCUUUGACGGGUAGCCGGCCUGAGAGGGUGACCGGCCACAUUGGGACUGAGAUACGGCCCAGACUCCUACGGGAGGCAGCAGUGGGGAAUAUUGCACAAUGGGCGGAAGCCUGAUGCAGCAACGCCGCGUGCGGGAUGACGGCCUUCGGGUUGUAAACCGCUUUCGCCUGUGACGAAGCGUGAGUGACGGUAAUGGGUAGAGAAGCACCGGCUAACUACGUG